This 460-nucleotide ribosomal RNA is filed under the name uncultured bacterium. Its description in RNAcentral is "partial 16S ribosomal RNA". It matches the Rfam family "Bacterial small subunit ribosomal RNA", at positions 338 to 795 of the family's 1533-position model. The record is from RNAcentral.
CCUACGGGAGGCAGCAGUGAGGAAUAUUGGUCAAUGGGCGCGAGCCUGAACCAGCCAAGUAGCGUGAGGGACGACUGUCCUAUGGAUUGUAAACCUCUUUUGCAAGGGAGCAAAAUGCGGUACGUGUACCGCAUCGUGAGUACCCGGAGAAAAAGCAUCGGCUAACUCCGUGCCAGCAGCCGCGGUAAUACGGAGGAUGCGAGCGUUAUCCGGAUUUAUUGGGUUUAAAGGGAGCGUAGACGGGUAGUUAAGUCUGGAGGGAAAGCUCGGGGCCCAACCCAGGGACUGCUAUUGAGACUGGGUAACUUGAGUACAGGUGGGGUAGGCGGAAUUCCUGGUGUAGCGGUGAAAUGCGUAGAUAUCAGGAGGAACACCGGCGGCGAAGGCGGCCUGCUGGACUGAAACUGACGUUGAGGCUCGAAAGCGUGGGGAGCAAACAGGAGUAGAUACCCGUGUAGUC